CCCUUAGAUGUUCUGGGCCGCACGCGCGCUACACUGUUCGACGCAGCGAGUCUUAACCUUGACCGAAAGGUUUGGGUAAUCUUCAGCAAAGUCGAACGUGAUGGGGAUCGAUCAUUGCAAUUAUUGAUCGUGAACGAGGAAUUCCUAGUAAGUGCAAGUCAUCAGCUUGCGCUGAUUACGUCCCUGCCCUUUGUACACACCGCCCGUCGCUACUACCGAUUGAAUGGUUUAGUGAGAUCUCUGGAUUGACGCUGGCUAGGGGGCGACCCUUGGCCAGACUGCUCGAGAAACUGCUCAAACUUGAUCAUUUAGAGGAAGGAGAAGUCGUAACA
RNAcentral lists this ribosomal RNA (332 nucleotides) under uncultured eukaryote. RNAcentral's name for it is "partial 18S ribosomal RNA". It matches the Rfam family "Eukaryotic small subunit ribosomal RNA", at positions 1470 to 1796 of the family's 1831-position model. The record is from RNAcentral.